Triticum aestivum (bread wheat) is the source of this 362-nucleotide long non-coding RNA. RefSeq lists it as uncharacterized. Lineage: Eukaryota; Viridiplantae; Streptophyta; Magnoliopsida; Poales; Poaceae. The record is from RefSeq and is a predicted model, not a curated record. The transcript is spliced from 3 exons.
CUUGGUGUUAAACUUUGAGCCCACCCUUCAUUUUCUUUCUGGAAUCGCCACUGGGCCGGGGAGCUGCUGACGGGUGCCGCAUCUGAAUCCAUGCCGGACCUCUUAUUGCAAGCUCGGAACACACUGCUCGAAGGUGACCGGAUGCCUGGAGCAACUGUCGAUGCAGCAGAGGGUCAGCUGUUCUGCACUGGAUCGGGGAGAUCAGUUUCUGUCAGUUAGAGGGCUAUAAAGAGGGCACGGGGAAUUGGUCAGGAAGGAGGUGGAGAAGACUGAUAUCAAGAGAAGUAAUAGAACAAACGUUUGACAACGUACCUGAUGCAGAGGGCGUGUCGAGAUAAAUGGACACUCCAUUUAGAGGCAAG